AUUGAACGCUGGCGGCAGGCUUAACACAUGCAAGUCGAACGAGCGGCGGACGGGUGAGUAAUGUCUGGGCAACUGCCUGAUGGAGGGGGAUAACUACUGGAAAAGGUAGCUACUACCGCAUACCAUCAGAUGUGCCCAGAUGGGAUUAGCUAGUCGGUGGGGUAAUGGUGCACCUAGGCGACGAUCCCUAGCUGGUCUGAGAGGAUGACCAGCAAAACUGGAACUGAGACACGGUCCAGACUCCGACGGGAGGCAGCAGUGGGGAAUAUUGGACAAUGGGCGAAAGCCUGAUGGAGCAAUGCCGCGUGUAUGAAGAAGGCUUUCGGGUUGUAAAGUACUUUUAGCGAGGAGGCGGUAGUCGCAGAGGAAGCACCGGCUAACUCCGUGCCAGCAGCCGCGGUAAUAC
RNAcentral lists this ribosomal RNA (406 nucleotides) under uncultured bacterium. RNAcentral's name for it is "partial 16S ribosomal RNA". It matches the Rfam family "Bacterial small subunit ribosomal RNA", at positions 30 to 526 of the family's 1533-position model. The record is from RNAcentral.